CUGCAGCCCGAGUGGUGAUCGAUUUUAUUGAGCCUAAAGCGUCCGUAGCCGGACUAGUAAACCCUUAAGUAAAUUGGGCAGCUUAACUGUCCAAAUUCCGAGGGGACUGCUAGUCUUGGGACCGGGAGAGGUCAGAGGUACUCAAGGGGUAGGGGCUAAAUCCUGUAAUCCUUUGGGGACCACCAGUGGCGAAGGCGUCUGACUAGAACGGAUCCGACGGUAAGGGACGAAACCCUGGGGCGCGAACCGGAUUAGAUACCCGAGUAGUCC
This 270-nucleotide ribosomal RNA is filed under the name uncultured archaeon. Its description in RNAcentral is "partial 16S ribosomal RNA". It matches the Rfam family "Archaeal small subunit ribosomal RNA", at positions 477 to 747 of the family's 1478-position model. The record is from RNAcentral.